AUUGAACGCUGGCGGCAGGCCUAACACAUGCAAGUCGAACGAGUGGCGGACGGGUGAGUAAUGUCUGGGAAACUGCCCGAUGGAGGGGGAUAACUACUGGAAACGGUAGCUAAUACCGCAUACCCUCGGAUGUGCCCAGAUGGGAUUGGCUAGUGGGGGGGGUAACGGCUCACCUAGGCGACGAUCCCUAGCUGGUCUGAGAGGAUGACCAGCCACACUGGAACUGAGACACGGCCCAGACUCCUACGGGCGGCAGCAGUGGGGAAUAUUGCAAAAUGGGCGAAAGCCUGAUGCAGCCAUGCCGCGUGUAUGAAGAAGGCCUUCGGGUUGUAAAGUACUUUCAGCGAGGAGGCGUUACUCGCAGAAGAAGCACCGGCUAACUCCGUGCCAGCAGCCGCGGUAAUAC
Molecule: ribosomal RNA, 406 nt
Filed under: uncultured bacterium
Lineage: Bacteria
Description: partial 16S ribosomal RNA
Rfam family: Bacterial small subunit ribosomal RNA
Source: RNAcentral